AUGGUAGGCGCUCCGAAAACAUAUCCGCGUUCAGGAAAAGUUGGGCUUGCCGGAAAAGGGAGAAGGCUUCGAGAUGCCCAGCUCCCCAGUCCUGAAUGCAUCUGCCCUCGGCGGAGAGAGACAGCUGGGGGCCUCAGAGGGAAUGGCAGGGGCUGGGGCGACCGACGGGCUGAUGCUAAAUUCGGGAGCUGGGAUUUUAUUCUGAAAGCGAGGGGAAGCCCUGCGGAGUUCUCUUGGCUGGGGUGUGACCUCCGGUGGCCGCGGGGCCCAGGCGCUGGGGUCGUCUCCUGGAGAGAUCGGAAGCCCCUCGGACUGCGGGGACUGAGGGAACAGGGACGCUGCCGGGACCUGCGGCGGCCCCACCGGGAGGGGGCCAGGGGAGCGCAGGGUGCGCGGGGCGGGGCGGCGCAAGCCAAUGGGCGGACACGGGGCGGGGCGCAGGAAGCGGGGCGGGCUCGCCCGGCGCCCAGGAAAGCCCCGAGCGGCGCGGCCAGGGAAGGGACGGCCUCCCGGGGGGUCCCCUACUUCCCGCUCUGGGGCCGGCGCGGCGAAUGGACCUGGAGGGCGCAGGCAAAGGCCCAGCUUCACAAAGUAAACACGAGCACGUAUAACCUGAUCAAGAAACGAAGCAUGACCAGCACCUCCCACAGAAGUUUCUCUCCCGCCCACCCUCUCCCAGGACACUCUCCCAGCCACUAACCCCAAGAUUGGUUUGUCUCCUUUUGGACUUUUUCUGAAUGGAGCACGUAUCGCCCUUCCAAGCCCAGCCUCCUUCGCUCAGCUUGUGCUCUGAGACCCUGUCUGGGUGUCACGCCAUUUGCUGUGUUCAGGGUUGCAGAGUGGUCACUAGGCCCUGGGAGACGGGCUCUGUCACCUGUCCCGUCAGCUCUGCCCCAGGCCUCUCUGCCCAGCCAUGCCAGCCAUGGUCCCUUUGCCCCUCCUCAACCACCCCAGGAGGCAAAGUGGUCUUGCUCUCAUUUCACAGAU
Molecule: long non-coding RNA, 987 nt
Filed under: Capra hircus (goat)
Lineage: Eukaryota; Metazoa; Chordata; Mammalia; Artiodactyla; Bovidae
Description: lncRNA (ENSCHIG00010030642.1)
Source: RNAcentral